This 497-nucleotide ribosomal RNA is filed under the name uncultured bacterium. Its description in RNAcentral is "partial 16S ribosomal RNA". It matches the Rfam family "Bacterial small subunit ribosomal RNA", at positions 28 to 507 of the family's 1533-position model. The record is from RNAcentral.
GAUGAACGCUGGCGGCGUGCCUAAUACAUGCAAGUCGAGCGAACGGACGAGAAGCUUGCUUCUCUGAUGUUAGCGGCGGACGGGUGAGUAACACGUGGAUAACCUACCUAUAAGACUGGGAUAACUUCGGGAAACCGGAGCUAAUACCGGAUAAUAUUUUGAACCGCAUGGUUCAAAAGUGAAAGACGGUCUUGCUGUCACUUAUAGAUGGAUCCGCGCUGCAUUAGCUAGUUGGUAAGGUAACGGCUUACCAAGGCAACGAUGCAUAGCCGACCUGAGAGGGUGAUCGGCCACACUGGAACUGAGACACGGUCCAGACUCCUACGGGAGGCAGCAGUAGGGAAUCUUCCGCAAAGGGCGAAAGCCUGACGGAGCAAGGCCGCGUGAGUGAUGAAGGUCUUCGGUUCGUAAAACUCUGUUAUUAGGGAAGAACAUAUGUGUAAGUAACUGUGCACAUCUUGACGGUACCUAAUCAGAAAGCCACGGCUAACUACGUG